AAAGUUUUAAUACAUGAUAGUGGUAACAUUUGGGUUGGCUAUAGUAAUGGUAGGCCACAGUAUUUAUUUCAAUCUUCAAUUUUGACUGGAAUUGUGUUUGUCAUUGUUAGUAAGUCCAUAAUUUAUUCCAGUUCAAAAUAAUUUAGCAAAAUACUUUACUCAUCAUAUUGUGCUGCUUUCCCCUUUUAUUGUAAUAAUUGCUGAACAAGUUCCUGAACACCUUGUGAACAUCGAACUUUGGGAAAUUGUUCGAAAGAGUUAUCCACAACGAUGCAAGAGAAUGGAGCAGAGAGACUGUGAGACUUGUGGAGAAGAGAUUUUCAGCUCACCUGAUCAGGUAUCCAAAUCUGGAGAGAUCUGACUGGAGUAUGGAAAACAAGUAAAGUUACCAAUGAAUGAAGAGAAAGAGGAGGGGAGGAGGAAAGUCCUCCACAACAGAAAAGAGGAAUUUGGAACACUCAAGCACUUUCAAGAUCCUUUCUUUGGGUUGCUGUCAGACUCGGAGAAUGAAGAACCUUUUGGGAAGAGAACCAGAAAUGUGUCUGCAUUUGUUAGAAGAACAAAGACCUCGGCAGACUUCACAAGAGAUGGUCUACAGACGAAUGUGGUGCAGAGAAGCCAGAGCUGUACUGAUACAGAGGAGGGAAGGUGAAAAAUGAGGGCGUCUACUCAUCUUCCUGGACUGGACAAGGUAUAAAGCUGGGCUUUUUAAAGGCAAGUAUUGCUCUCAGCUACAAUGCAGGAAUCCUUCUGUCCUCUGAGAACAGCCAAUUUCUUUCGGCACACAUAAUUAUCCAAGACAAGAGGCAUAGCUGGCGAGGCGUCAUCAUGGCUUCAUCAACACCUUUUAUAGUCCCCCAGUCGAAACAGGAGAGGUCCAUUAGCCCUGAGAGCAAUGACAGUAUCUCUGAGGAGCUGAAUCACUUCAAGCCAAUAGUGUGUUCGCCGUGCACCCCACCAAAGCGGCUACCUGACGGGCGAGUGAUGGAACCCACAAUUGUGAAGUCCACCCCACGGAACUUAUUCCGCAGCCUGGAGAGGCCCACCAGCAUAUCCUCCAGGAAUGGAAGCAGAUAGAGGUGGACCGUCAGUCUGUCAGUGACCUCAAAGGGCACCUUGACCAGCCCCAUAAACGUGGACCUUGUUUUCAAACCAAGCCCCAUAGAGAAGGAUGGCAAGCCCUGCAGCUGCGCUCUAGCAGCAAAUAAGGGAAAAGAACACUUGGGUAGGUGUGCCAAGACUGAUUCCUCUGGGCAAGAGAAUGAAAUAACUUGUAUACAUAAUAAACAAAGAGUGAUAUUUUACCAGGCCAUUGGAGAGACGGCCCUCCAUCAAAAACAAUUCAAAGUUUCAUACUCCAUUUGUACCUUUAAACAGUGAGGAGACUGUAACUGAGUGUGGGGUUUCUUCAGAGUCUGUGGUGAUACCUGUAUCACAUUGUGGACCAACUUCAAUUAAUCAAAAUCCAACCUUAGUCCCACACAAUAUAAAUGACAGUGUUAGGGGUUGCAAUCUUAAAUCAAAGGACUCACAGGAUCAGAGAAAAUAUUUGGACAAUAGAAACGGUGCCCGGAACAAACCUACCUCAAGGAGGGGUAAGAAGAGGAGCCAGAAGACAAAACACCUGGAAGAGACCGAGUCUGGACUCAAAAGGCCCAGAGCCAAUAUGGUUUCAAUAUAGAUUGUGCACAGGCUGACCUGUACAUUCAACAGGUACAGCAAGUGAGUGAGGAUAGAGAGCUAGCGUUGAAUCUUCAAAGACAGUUUGACAGGGAACAGCAACAAGUAGACAAGCAAAAGACCAGUUUUGACAAGUACUUUCUCCGGUCCUGCAGUGAAAACAGAAUCGAAUGCAAUCCACGUAGAUCAGGAAGAAUUUCCAAAAGGAAUGAGCACUUUUAUUGCAAUUAUUAAAUGGUUAUUCUUGUGCUUUUUUAAAUUAUUAAAACCUGCCAACUUCUUGCAUACAAGAACUAUACUGUUUUUGCUGACCAUGUUCCAAAUUCAGUGCUUUUAAAGAUUAACUUAGAUUUAGUUUCUAUGAACAUGAUUUUGCUGAACAUGAUUAUUUUCUUCUCGUUUGCAGUUACUUGUGACAGAAUGUAAAAACACUACAUCAUAUAUUUCUGCAGUUAAUGCACUGAGAAAAAACUAAAGGUUUCACGGCAUGAAUCAUACAUGACCCUGAACACAAAGAUGUUGUGUUGAUUCAUACUGUGCAGACACUUGAAAAUCUUUGUGUUCAGGGUCAUGUAUGAUUCUGAUUCUAGCUCAGCCAAGGAUGUGGACACAAGAUCUAGCACUAUUACUUUGUCAGACCCUUCAUUCAGAUUCCCAUUAACCCAGAACAGUACAAUCCUAUUGAUUAUUUCAUGAUCCACAUGUUCCUUUCUGCACCAACGAUACUUUGCACUUAGCACCUCUGUGAUGUUUUGGGAAACACUUGUACCAUCUUAGUGCAUUAGGAAUGAUGCAUUGUUAAAACACUGGUAAAAUGUAAGUUCCAUUACAGUGAAACCUUGCCCAUCCUUUGGCUCAGCUAAAAUAUUUUUCACACAGGCGGUGUCCAUUGGCACCUCAAUCGCUCUAAAUCUCAUUGCCUUUUGUAGCAGAAUUUAUUUGACAUAAUUUGGUAUUAUUUUUUAGUUGAAGGUAUAUUCAGCAAUGUGGUUUUUACCAUGAACAGCUGGGUGUCUUGCGACACAGAGUUGCACAGAUUAUCACAUUUAAGUCAUAUUGAUUUGUGUCUGUCAAUGUUAGUAUUUGCCAAAGUAGUGGUUAACAUUACAGAAACCCCAUCAAUAAGAUUUAACGAUCUGACAAUCUGGACAGAAAAACUGCAAUGGAGGCAGCCUGAAACGUGUGGGUGUUGAGGUAUACAGCUGCUCACACUCUUCCGUUGCACUGCAGCUCCUGGUCAUGUCAGAUUGUUGAGUUAAAGGAUCAGUGUGGACAGGUUAAAUAUAUGCAAUGUGUAAACUCUGCUGAAAACUAUUACAGUAAUAUUGGAAAGGGGUACAAUGUUUUUUGGAGGAUGAUUUUCUGAUCAAAUUCAAUACCGGUCUGUUUUCUGUAUGCCCACACUUCUACCUCAACCCUCACUGUUGCGAUUUUGCAUUUCUCUCAAAUGAUUUAUGCCCUCUUAUUGACUACUACAAACUAAAAUGGCUCUAUGCAUGUGCAUGGUACAACUUUACAAAGCUGUAGCACUGCCAAAGCUCAUACUUUUGAUAAUUAGGAUAACUGUUUUAUGCAAUAUUUCUAUUGGAGAAUCCACAUUAAUAUAUUUCAUCAGCAUUGUUAUUUUUCUAAUCUUUGAGUUGUACUUACUAUAUUGUUUGAGACACUUAUUCAAAGGGCUAUUAUAUUUGAUCUGAGAAAUGUCUUUCCAUAUUUUAUUUGAUUCUUGUUUUUCUGAAGAUAUAUUUUUUUCCAAUGGCAUAUGCCAAAAUAUUAGCUUUAAUGUCCAUUACUACUUAAACGUUUAAGUAGUAAAAGAUAUUGCAAUAUUAAUAUGCACAUUAUGUACACAUACUUUUAUACUUUUUUUGUACAUACAGUUUAAAUAAUCAGAUGCAUAUUUUAGUAUUGGAGGGGAAGUUGGUGCCAAAUGGAAAUAGGUUAGUGCCAAAUGGUUGAUUUCUGUCGACUGUCAUACAUCUGCAGUUUUUUGUUUACUUUCCUGAUUUAAAGAUUAGGUUAUUGAUUCUUUAUAGUAAUCAGAAUGUACCACUUGUAUAGCCUACAUGAUUCACUGACAGCGCUGUACUUUGAAGGAAACAACUUGUUCGGAUCAUGUCCAUUCACAUUCUGAAGUAACUGUGAAACACAACCCAUUCAAACGGAACGGAGACCUGAAAGACUUUCAUUCAAGCUCGUCUCAUUUUCACUUUAAGUAUGUAAAGAGGUUGGCACACACAGUUGAAGUCAGAAGUUUUUACAUGCACCUUAGCCAAAUAUAUUUAAACUUUAUUUGAAGUGUAUGUCAGAAUAAAUAGCUGAGUGAUUUAUUUCAGCUUUUAUUUCUUUCAUCAUAUUCCCAGUGGGUCAGAAGAUUACAU
Long non-coding RNA from Oncorhynchus tshawytscha (Chinook salmon), 4061 nucleotides. RefSeq lists it as uncharacterized. The record is from RefSeq and is a predicted model, not a curated record. NCBI's taxonomy places the organism in Eukaryota, Metazoa, Chordata, Actinopteri, Salmoniformes, Salmonidae. The transcript is spliced from 6 exons.